GGAAAGGGGGUCGCAGAGAGACGAGGCGGAAGAGAAAGAGAGAGAGGAGGGGCUCCAAGAGUUCUUUUAUAAGGUAACCCAGGGCAUGCACAGGUGGUUCCAGGUGAUCAGCGGGUGGUCUUCUUGGUGGCUUCACAAAUGCCUGAUAACUGGUUUGUCAGGUCCCUUGGGGCUGGCCAUAGAGAUGCCUCCUUACUGAUCCCAACUUUCCUCCCUUUUUGUUUUGUUAAAAAGUGAGGAGUCAGGAAGGGGUGAUGGUGGGGGAAGGGCACAGGGACGACUUCUGCUUUUCAAGCUACUUCCUGCUGAUUAGGGGCGUUGUCCUUCUCGGGAUACAGCUGGCUCCCAUCAUCGGGGUCAUAGUCUGGCUCUGAGGGCAGAGGUUGAUAAUCCUGUAGGAGUAACUGAUUAAUGGUUUGGUUAGAGAUUUUUUGCAUUUGUUGUUGGAAGAAUGUAGAGAGGAAGUUAAUUAAGCAAGGUGCAAAAAGCAAAAGCGGAAAGACUAGCACGGGAGGUGAGACAAGGGGCAGAAUCCAUUUCCAUAUGGGAUUCUGAAAGGCCCAAGAGCUAGAGGCCUCCAGCUCUUCCUUCCUUUUUUGUAAAUCUGUCUGGAGUUGUUGGAUUUUGUCCUUUACUAUACCCGACUGGUUGACAUAAAAACAGCAUUCCUCCUGGAGGAAGAGGCAAAGGCUAUGUUCUUUAGCUGUGAGGAGAUCCAAUCCACGUCGGUUUUGAAGUACUACUACUGCCAAUUUUAGGUAAUUGGGACAUAUUUUCUCUGGAUAUGGAUAGUACUUAUUGGUAAAUCGGGUGUGUAGCAGCGGUAAGAGUUUUCCAACGACGCCUGCUUCCCAUUUGGCAUCCCACGGGUCUUGGAUGUAUAAGUAGCGGGUCUUUUGAUACAGGUGAAGGAGCUUCUUCUGUGCUGGUUUCAGGCUGAAGAGAUGGCUCAGAGGUUCUUCCAAUAGGUCCUGAGUUCAAGUCCCAGCAACCACAUGUUGGCUCACAACCAUCUAUAAUGAGAUCUGGUGCCUUCUUCUGGCCUGCAGGCACACAUGCAGGCAGGAUACAGUAAAUAAAUGAAUCUUUUUAAAAAAUUUCUUAGCUACAAAUGGACAUUAGUAUUCAUUCUAUCUUUGAAACUUGAUCCUCAGACUUUAAUGCAGAGAUAACUAUGAUAAAAAGUAGUUAAGUUAUCAUUAUAAAUACUUUAACAACUUUUUUUAGUUGUGGAACUGGAGAGACGGAUUAGCAGUUAAGAGCACUGCCUGCUCUCCCAGAGGACCCACGUUCAGUUCCCAGAACCUGUAAGAUGACUCACUACGUUGGUAACUCCAGUUCAGGGUAUCUGAUACCCUCUUCUGGCCUCCAUGCCCUGCACAGACAUACAUGCAGCAAAAUACUCAUAGAUAUAUAAUAAAGGUAGAUCUUAUUAUUUUUAAUUUUAGUUUUAAUAGGAAUAGGAGACUAACUCUUAAUUCUGAACACUUUUUAAUGGUCAUGCUUCUCAUGUUUUUUUUUUUUUUUAGAGUGAGGGUUGGGAAGGGAGGUGAGAGAAUAAACUUAACAAAUACCACUAAGCAUGACCACUGGUUUUUUUCCACAUGGCUGUCCAUCCUUUGCCUGGUGUGGUCAUUGUGAUGGAGUGAGGAACAGAGCUGUUGGUUUGGAUUCAAAUUUCACCACGUGGGAGAGUCUAAAAGCAUGAGUAAAGAUGAAAAUAAAGAUAAUGUAGGGACUAUUCAAAACCAUACACCCAAGGCAGAGAAACUUAAAAGAGAAAGCCCAAAAUGGGAAGACUCUACAGGGAAAGAAGGGGCAAAACCUCAGCAUGGAAGACGGGGGUCCCCAAAAACAUGUCAACACCUCUGCCCAGUGGAAUUCGUCCUUUGGUGAGAAGGCCUACAGAUGUUCUAAAUGCCGGGAAAGCUUCAGCAACAAUUCUCACCCGCAUACCCACCAGAGGACACACUCAGAAGAAAAAAACAAAAACAAAAACCUUAAAAAUGUUCUGGAUGUGGGAGAGCCUUUUGUAACUGUUCCCACUCGAUUCAGCGUUUGAGAAGCACACAGGGGAGAACCUCUUCCUGCGUGGUGAGCGCGGGGAAAAGCUUCAGCAGUCCUUCCCCUCUUAUCCACGAGAGAACUCACACAGGAGAGAAGCCUUACCAGUGUCCUGACUGUGGAAAGGGUUUCUGGAGCAGCUCCCACCUUCGUCAGCCUCACAGAUCACACAGCGGCGAAAGGCCAUGUGCAUGUCCUGUUGGCGGCAAAGGCUUCGGUCGCGGCUAUGUUCUAGUAGAACACAGGAGGACUCACACUGGAGAAACACCCUCUAGGUUCCCUGAAUGCUGGAAGAGCUUCAGUCAGUUCCAGCCUGAUUCGCCACCAGGGGACGCACAUAGGUGAAAAGCCCGACAAGGCUUUGGUUGUAACUCUAAUAAAGCAUCAGAGAACACAUUCAGGAGGAAAGCCUGUCCUAAGCGUGCAAAGACUUUCAGUCGAGGUUCAAACCUUUAGCACAAUAGACGAUGUACACGGGAAGGAAAUCCUCUGGAAAUACUGAAUGCGAAGGAAGUGCAUCAGAGCUACAGUGUGACAGAGUGCAGAGUCGAGCCAAGAGGGAAACCAUUGUACGUGCUAUGAAUGUGGAAAGAGUUUCGGCCUCAGCUCCCACCUUAUUAUGCAUCAGAGAACACACGCUGGAGAGAAGUCUUACCGGUGUUCCGAGUAUUGGAAAACGUUCAGUUGGAGCUCCACCCUGGUGACUCACCAGAGGACACACGUAGGAGAGAAGCCUUCUAAGUGUCUCGACUGUGGCAAGCCCUUCAGUGCAAGGUUUAACCUGAUCAGGAACCAGAGAACCCACAUAGGGGAGGAGAAACCUUACAAAUGUGUGGGCUUCGAGAAACGCUGCAGCAGAAACGCCCACCUCACUCAGCACUGCAAAAAGCACAGUCAGGUCUCUCAGGCCUCCUCAGUUGGGGCAUUUCCUUCAUGCGUGGACCCAACAAACCUGUUCAGGGGAAAUGGUCCUGAGCCUUUAAUUUUCGGCUUCAGAUUCUCAAAUUCUCCUUAUUAAAUCAUUAGAAUUAAGGUGCUAUA
Psammomys obesus (fat sand rat) is the source of this 3105-nucleotide long non-coding RNA. RefSeq lists it as uncharacterized. NCBI's taxonomy places the organism in Eukaryota, Metazoa, Chordata, Mammalia, Rodentia, Muridae. The record is from RefSeq and is a predicted model, not a curated record. The transcript is spliced from 4 exons.